AUAACUCUACACUUUGGUCGACCUUGAACUAGAUCAAUAAAAAGGUAACUAGAAGGUUUGCACACAAAUCACUUGUGGAACUCCUCAUCAAGUUGGACAAUUUUGUCUUUAACCUUUGUUCAGGAGUUAAAUAUUAAAUAUUAUUCAUUAACUAAUAUUACACUCACUGAAAAGAAGGGAUCCUUAAAUGAGUAAAGGUAGCGUAUCUGUUUUGACAAAAUAGCAUAUAUUCUUGAACUAAAUGACAAAUUUUCCCUUUAUAACUUUUUAUUCUAGCCAUUGUUUUUGAAGUGUCAGUGCUAUACAUCUUGCAUUCAGCCAUUUUUGUGUGAGCUACAGUUGCCAGAAUUUGCUUACUAGUAUGGAAAGGUCUAUUUUCAGAUUUAGGAAAUUUCUGAAUGUAAUUUCAGAAAGAAAAGGAAACUGCAAAGUGUUUGGAAAUUACCGUUAGUUAUAUUAGAUCUCAUCCCCUUUCACCUAUUCAAGGACAUGCUCCAACAGUUACUCCCCUCCUCUCCAUAUCAUUCCCCACUCCCCAUUUAGUGUGCAAAUAGUAUAGAACCUUUAUUAAAAAAACACAAAACCCCCCAACUUUCUUGACCUGAUAUCUCCCCUUCAGAUGCAACCCUAUUUCUUUGUUUCCUUUAUAGCAAAACUUAUUUUAAAAAGUGCCCGUAUUUGCUAUCUUCAAUUGUUUGGGUUUGUUUUCCCCUCUUUUUUCUAACUGAGGUCCCAUUCCGUCUGAACCCAGUGGAAUCGGGCUUUUAUCUUUAUGACCCAUGACACAGCUCUUGUCAAAGUUAUCAAUGCGUUUCACCUUCUUUGUCUUCUAGGAAAUCCCCAGGCUGCUUUUUCUACCGCUUCACUUCUCCUUCAGAGUCCUCAUCACAGUCCUUCCUGUCUCCCAGAUCUUUUAACACGGGAGUACCCCAGGGUUCAGUCUUCAAUAGAUCUCUUUUUCUAGCAUUUAUCUGAUCCCAUGACUUCAGCUGUCAUCUGCAUGUGGAUGAUUCCUAAAUUUUUAUCUCCCUUGUAGAUCUGAGCUCUAGUUUUAAGUAGGUAAUUGCCAACUGUACUAGUAUGUGUCCACUUGCUAAACUAUUAAAGUGAUAUGGCCUGCACCUCCAGACCUGCUAGUAUUUCUUUCCCCUACUUUCAGGAAGAGCCACCUGACCUAAUCUCUUUUACUUGCUAGCCUUUCGUUGUCCUUGCCCAUUACCCCCUCUACACCACCUUUUCUACCCUCCCUCUGCACCUCCCUCCUACCCUGUGAUACAUAAGUGUAAUUUAGUGUAACACUUUCCUCUUAAGAAAAGUCUCUGGAAAUUCCCUCAUCAUCACCAUGAUUUUGUCUUCCUUCAUUUAAAAUUUGUUCCUGAAGUGCUCCUUUCUCUGUGGAAAGUCUCUUAAGAUAGCUAAAAUAACUUAAUCCCUUUUGUCUAAAAUAUUGCCCUCUUUCCACCUGUUCCAUUUAUUCUUCUGCAGAAUGAAUGGUCCAGUCUUACAAGAGAUUCAUGCUGGCUCAGCCUACCAUAGUUCAGCUGAGCUGAGGCUGCCCUCAGUGGCGAGACAAAAUGUGUCUUGAAAACCCAUCAAUCUAAUGUAUGUUCUCUGGAA
Molecule: long non-coding RNA, 1617 nt
Organism: Pipistrellus kuhlii (Kuhl's pipistrelle)
Lineage: Eukaryota; Metazoa; Chordata; Mammalia; Chiroptera; Vespertilionidae
Exons: 3
Source: RefSeq, a predicted model, not a curated record